UACGGAGGGGGCUAGCGUUGUUCGGAAUUACUGGGCGUAAAGCGCGCGUAGGCGGACCUGCAAGUCGGGGGUGAAAGCCCGAGGCUCAACCUCGGAACUGCCUUCGAUACUGCGGGUCUCGAGUCCGGGAGAGGUGAGUGGAAUUCCUAGUGUAGAGGUGAAAUUCGUAGAUAUUAGGAAGAACACCAGUGGCGAAGGCGGCUCACUGGCCCGGUACUGACGCUGAGGCGCGAAAGCGUGGGGAGCAAACAGGAUUA
RNAcentral lists this ribosomal RNA (257 nucleotides) under uncultured bacterium. Its description in RNAcentral is "partial 16S ribosomal RNA". It matches the Rfam family "Bacterial small subunit ribosomal RNA", at positions 524 to 780 of the family's 1533-position model. The record is from RNAcentral.